Molecule: long non-coding RNA, 239 nt
Organism: Saccostrea cuccullata (small rock oyster)
Lineage: Eukaryota; Metazoa; Mollusca; Bivalvia; Ostreida; Ostreidae
Exons: 4
Source: RefSeq, a predicted model, not a curated record
AAAGAACAGAAAGAAAAUGCUGGUUUUACCAAGGAAUUUAAGGAACAACCAUAUGGGGAGAGGUUUGACUGUACCACAGCGAAAUUAGAAGAAAACAUUCCAAGAAACAGAUUCAAAACAACUUUUCCAUAUAAUCACUCGAGAGUGGUGCUACAAAUUGAUGACGAAUUCAGUUCCGAUUACAUAAAUGCAAAUUACGUAGAGAAUAUGGAAGGUACAAGGGCAUAUAUUGCUUCUCA